AACGAAAUCGAAGAAUAUAUCCACAUAGCAUAUACUUAAUCUGUUAUUUUGAUUUGAAAAAUAAUUCUGAGAAGAUUUUAGCUAAACUAAAUUGGUAGAAUUUUAGUAUAUAUCCACUUAGCAUAUUCGAAAUGUAUUCGUUUAACUAUCUACCAAGAUCUUAAAUUUGGUAGAGUUAUUUGUUAUUUUCAAUUCAGGAUGUAUUGAAGAACACGUUUAUCUCUCGGAGAACAGGAGUUACAUGGUACUAAUGCAAAUAGGAGAAGAGCAUGUGUUUUGACCUGACAUAAUGAAUCAGGAUGCAGGAACAACUUGGUGGAGGAAGGUAAUUGUUUGUCUCUGUUAUGGAUGUUUCUGAGAUUUCUGAUGAUCAUACGAUUGAUAUAUGGGUUGCAAGUUUUGUGUCGUUGUAUUGUUUACAAAUAAGUUGUGGUUCAUGUUUUUAAUUUUAUUUGGGUAUUCGUAUGAUAUAA
This is a long non-coding RNA of Raphanus sativus (radish), 473 nucleotides long. RefSeq lists it as uncharacterized. The record is from RefSeq and is a predicted model, not a curated record. The transcript has 2 exons. NCBI's taxonomy places the organism in Eukaryota, Viridiplantae, Streptophyta, Magnoliopsida, Brassicales, Brassicaceae.